UACAUGUGUACAGACGAGGCUAGCAGCAGCAGUGCUGCAUCAGACACGUUUCUGGUGUGGCAAGACAUGACAAAAUCCAUGCAGCCGCCACGCAACAGAAACGCCACGCUCCCGCCACGCAGCCAGUGUGAGGCCGGCCUAAGGGAAAGUGUGAUCACCAGAGUCAGGCCAGGAGGCAGCAGCUGGAGGGAGAUGAAGUGCUGUAGGAGUCAUCCAGCUGUAGCAGUACCUGGCGCGGGCAGCUCCAGCUUUGCCUUCCUGAGCUCCGUCAUGGACGCCUGGAGCUGCUCAAUCACAAAGUCGUCCUCGAAGAAGAAAUCUUUGGACAAAGUCACCUGCAGAAACUCCACCAGCUCCUCCAUGGACAGCUUCAUCAGGUGCUCUGUAAAUCACACACAACACUCGUAAGACUUUUUUAGUCUUUGAAAGGUGGACAUCCGUAGCACUGAAUAGAGUAAACGGCCUUACUCUUGUGCAGUUUGAGGAUUGUGUAGGACAUGGUGGGCAGCACUCGUUCUCCCUCCAAGAUGUAGAUGUCCCAGAUUCUGAGGGUCAGGGUAAAGGGAGUCUUGACACAAACAAAACAAAAGGUGUUGUUUCAGUUUGGGCAUCAUCUUCUUGAGGAUGCGGUCGUGGUGAUCCUGGAACCUUAUCAGCUUCGGGAAGCCGGGGAUAAAAAACCCUAAAAGGCUUUGACGCGAGCAUCGGGAAGGUGGUAAGUUAUGAGUCUGCCACGACCCGCCGGAUCUGUGGGAAACCAAUCUUAGACAACAACGCAGUCAACCUGUUCUCCUCCGUCAUCAUCGCACUCAUCCUGCCAGGGCUGGCAUGGGGGAUGUGGCCUCGAUAGACUGACAACUGUCAAUGCAGCACAGCCGGACGACUAAUAUUAGACGGACUGCUGAUUAUUUGAGUAAUAUGUUGGUUGUUGUUGAUUACAGAAGCAUCACACUAAAAGUUAAUACAACACGCACUCUGCGUGCAUUCUUGAGAGGCUCUGAUCAUGAUAUCUCUCUUUGGAAGAAAAAAGAACAGUAAUAAAUACUAACCGAUAAAAACUUAACAGUAACUGACGGACUGUGGAUAUCUACGCAGGUUUUAGGAGAACAUUUAUGGCCCGCAUGCAGAUAUGGAAUAGUAAUUAAAUGGGUUGUGUUUUUGUUCUGUAUUUUAAAUUUGAAGCUGUUUUUUCCCCGCUUAAUGUGAUGUUUCAGUAUUUAAGACUGAUUUCUGGUAUUGUUACAACCAUAAUUUAUGCAGUAUGUUUCCAAGUGAGUCUUCACAGUAUGAAUUUACAUGUCACUAAUUAAAAAUAUAUUUCCUGUUGUAUUGGCUGUAUACUUUUAAAUAAAAGGUGUUUUUUGUUUGUGUGUAAA
This is a long non-coding RNA of Perca fluviatilis (European perch), 1376 nucleotides long. RefSeq lists it as uncharacterized. The record is from RefSeq and is a predicted model, not a curated record. NCBI's taxonomy places the organism in Eukaryota, Metazoa, Chordata, Actinopteri, Perciformes, Percidae. The transcript is spliced from 4 exons.